This 445-nucleotide ribosomal RNA is filed under the name uncultured bacterium. RNAcentral describes it as "partial 16S ribosomal RNA". It matches the Rfam family "Bacterial small subunit ribosomal RNA", at positions 354 to 796 of the family's 1533-position model. The record is from RNAcentral.
GUGAGGAAUAUUGGUCAAUGGGCGAUGGCCUGAACCAGCCAAGUAGCGUGAAGGAUGACUGCCCUAUGGGUUGUAAACUUCUUUUAUAAAGGAAUAAAGUCGGGUAUGCAUACCCGUUUGCAUGUACUUUAUGAAUAAGGAUCGGCUAACUCCGUGCCAGCAGCCGCGGUAAUACGGAGGAUCCGAGCGUUAUCCGGAUUUAUUGGGUUUAAAGGGAGCGUAGAUGGAUGUUUAAGUCAGUUGUGAAAGUUUGCGGCUCAACCGUAAAAUUGCAGUUGAUACUGGAUGUCUUGAGUGCAGUUGAGGCAGGCGGAAUUCGUGGUGUAGCGGUGAAAUGCUUAGAUAUCACGAAGAACUCCGAUUGCGAAGGCAGCCUGCUAAGCUGCAACUGACAUUGAGGCUCGAAAGUGUGGGUAUCAAACAGGAUUAGAUACCCCGGUAGUCC